CUUAUUAUUCGGGUUCUCGAGUUGCAUCUUUUGUGUGCAAGAAUGAUUGGUCUUCUUUCGCGACAUCGACUAUUGGAUUUUGUCAUGCAUGUAUCUCAAAGCAUUCAAGUUCGUUCAUUCGUCGCCCGCAUAGAUCUUGAAGUAGCCAUUGCACGACCCAAUAGUGUAUUUGUGUGAAGAAAAUCUUUAUUUGAGUACCAAUCUCAUGUCAAAGGAAAAAUAAAUGUUGUAACACCAGCAAAUAUGCUUUCUAAAGUUAAAUUUCAGG
This 268-nucleotide long non-coding RNA is filed under the name Elaeis guineensis (African oil palm). RNAcentral's name for it is "long non-coding RNA (EGUI_LNC027579)". The record is from RNAcentral. Lineage: Eukaryota; Viridiplantae; Streptophyta; Magnoliopsida; Arecales; Arecaceae.